CUCCCUCCUCUCGGUCAACAUCCUCUCUCUCGUCUCCUCUUUCUCUCUUCUUCUGUUUCUCUCUUCUUCUCUUCCUUAAAAUUCCCGUCGCCCCUUCCAUUUCCUCGUCGGAGCCGCCGAGAGGAGUUGCUGUCUUGCUGGGAGCCGCUGCCUUCUCUGCCGUAGCCGCCGGGAAGACGCGCCGCUGCUGUCCAUCGAGCUCCUCUGCUCCAGCCGGCUUCACGCCACCGCCGACGUCCUCAGUGAGCCGCCGGUGGCCGGACAGCCCAGGGGCGUCCCCGCCGCUGACCCGAACAGGCCCACACCAGCCCGAAGAAGACCCGAUUCCCUCCGGGCAGCCCCGUACUUAACUCGAGCGUCCCGCAAGGUUCAUGUGUGAUGAUAUGCAAUGUAUACAAUGAUCCAUAAAGGAAGGGAUUAUACCUCAAACAAGGAUUGAACUUGGUGGUGGAUGGGCAAGAAUGGUGAAAUUUUCUCCUCUUCUUCCUCUCUCGGCUUCUCUCUCGGCUCUCUCACAAUUUGCUUGAUGUAAAAUGUAUUGUGAAGUGUUUAGAGAAGGAGAGAAGUGAAGAAACUUAUGCAUUUAACUUGUGACCUUUGAUUGUAAGAAAUGAAUGUGGAAGAUGGAGGGUGAGGAAGUUGAAGAUGGAGGGUCUCCAUGGAAGGGGGGGGGGGGGUUCGGCCAAUUGGGAAGAAAAAGAAGGAGAAAAGGUGUUGGGCUUGCUCCCACAUUUUUGGAAUUGAAAAGGGCUCCCACACUUAAAUUUGUUCUGGGCAUAUUUAGUUGCAAGCCCAAUUUGUAUAAAUAUUUAUUUGUUAGACUUUUUGAUUGUUUUGGCCCAAAGCCAUUUUGUAAAAAAAAAAAACACAUUGGACUUUCUUUAUAUUUACUUGGAUUGGCCCCAAGUUCUUAUUUUUGUUUGUUUCCUUUCGUUUGGACAAAUUAUUAUUA
Salvia splendens (bonfire salvia) is the source of this 952-nucleotide long non-coding RNA. RefSeq lists it as uncharacterized. The record is from RefSeq and is a predicted model, not a curated record. The transcript is spliced from 2 exons. NCBI's taxonomy places the organism in Eukaryota, Viridiplantae, Streptophyta, Magnoliopsida, Lamiales, Lamiaceae.